AAACACAUCUUCUGGACUCUCUUCUGGUAAUAUGAGCUCCUAAAUACCUUUCCUGAUGCUUUGAAUCCGCCUGGAUGUGGACAAAGGUGUCAGGUGAAAGCUGUGCAGCUGAAACACAACAGACACACGAGUGUCUUCGCUGCUGCAGAUCCGCCCUCACUGUCAUUCAGCUGCAGAGGAGAGCGAGAGAGCAAUGAAUGAACACAAACACUGCAACAACAUCACUACAAACUUACUACAUUACUCUCAGGACUUCACACACCAGCGCUUCUUCACGCCGAAAGAAAGUCACAGGAUCAGUGAAGUGUUGUGGACUGUAAGCCUGUUGAGCAGAAGCAGAGACGAGUGGACAAACACUGACUGUACUGAUGAUGAUCAUCUGCUGCUGCACAGCAGUAAUGAAGUAUAACCCCUGCUGGACAUGGCUCCGGAAGCUCCAGGGGGAGACCGAACUGGUAUCCCCACCUCUCCAGGCACAACUCACUCACUGUGCACUCAUAUUGCAAAGAUCCGGCUGGGAUCGAUCCAGCAACCAUUAAAGUCAUGGGGCAGCGAUCUUACCACAGAGCCACUGAUCUCCUGUCUGGAUGCCUGCUGGAAUUGAUGUCACUGCUGACCUGUUUCAAUAAAACAAUAUAU
RNAcentral lists this long non-coding RNA (639 nucleotides) under Danio rerio (zebrafish). RNAcentral describes it as "lncRNA si:ch211-157e21.22 (ENSDARG00000101254.2)". The record is from RNAcentral. Lineage: Eukaryota; Metazoa; Chordata; Actinopteri; Cypriniformes; Danionidae.